AUGUGCAAGCAAAGAGAACUUGCCACGUGAACAGAGGAGAAUCGUGGCUGCCACGUGAAGAGGGGAGGUGCGACGACAGAGCCGGAGGCGUUGUGAGAGAGCGCGACGACAAUGGCAUCGAGGUACCAUGUCGGCAAUGUGCGGAGGGAGUGCGACAGCGAGGCAAUGUGAGACUGAAUCUUGUGCGAGAAUAGUGGCGGAGUGGUGGCGACAGAGCGAUGAAGUGGUGGCCAGGGAGCAACAACGCAGUUUCAGGGUGGUUGGAGAAUAGUGAAAGCAAAGGAGAGUUUGCGCGAGAAGAAGAGGAACGGUAAGAAGGAUAACAUCUGAGAUUAUAAUAUGUUAUACUACCUAGGUUCCAAACUUAAUUGAGGUAAUAGAGGCAUAUUGCCUCGGUUAUUAGCUAACAUGAUGCCUAAACUGUCAGGAAAUAAUUAAAAAUG
This 443-nucleotide long non-coding RNA is filed under the name Vigna radiata. RNAcentral describes it as "long non-coding RNA (VRAD_LNC006470)". The record is from RNAcentral. Lineage: Eukaryota; Viridiplantae; Streptophyta; Magnoliopsida; Fabales; Fabaceae.